RNAcentral lists this ribosomal RNA (666 nucleotides) under uncultured Lachnospiraceae bacterium. Its description in RNAcentral is "bacterial SSU rRNA". It matches the Rfam family "Bacterial small subunit ribosomal RNA", at positions 60 to 735 of the family's 1533-position model. The record is from RNAcentral. Lineage: Bacteria; Bacillati; Bacillota; Clostridia; Lachnospirales; Lachnospiraceae.
AGUCGAACGAACUUAACCAUUAGUUUACUAUUGGAGCGGUUAGUGGCGGACUGGUGAGUAACACGUAAGCAACCUGCCUAUCAGAGGGGAACAACAGUUAGAAAUGACUGCUAAUACCGCAUAUGCCUUGAGUAUCACAUGGUACAAAAGGGAAAGGAGCAAUCCGCUGAUAGAUGGGCUUGCGUCUGAUUAGAUAGUUGGUGAGGUAACGGCCCACCAAGUCGACGAUCAGUAGCCGGACUGAGAGGUUGAACGGCCACAUUGGGACUGAGAUACGGCCCAGACUCCUACGGGAGGCAGCAGUCGGGAAUAUUGCGCAAUGGAGGAAACUCUGACGCAGUGACGCCGCGUGCAGGAAGAAGGUUUUCGGAUUGUAAACUGCUUUAGACAGGGAAGAAACAAGACAGUACCUGUAGAAUAAGCUCCGGCUAACUACGUGCCAGCAGCCGCGGUAAUACGUAGGGAGCAAGCGUUAUCCGGAUUUAUUGGGUGUAAAGGGUGCGUAGACGGGAAAUUAAGUUAGUUGUGAAAUCCCUCGGCUUAACUGAGGAACUGCAACUAAAACUGAUUUUCUUGAGUGCUGGAGAGGAAAGUGGAAUUCCUAGUGUAGCGGUGAAAUGCGUAGAUAUUAGGAGGACACCAGUGGCGAAGGCGACUUUCUGGACA